GGCUCAGGACGAACGCUCGCGGCGUGCCUAAGAAAUGCAAGUCGAACGGACAUCUUCGGAUGUUAGUGGCGAACGGUCGCGUAACACGUAGGCAACCUGCCCGAAAGUGGGGGACAACAGCCUGAAAGGGCUGCUAAUACCGCAUGUGGCCAGUGAGUGGCAUCACUUACUGUCUAAAGCUUUAUGCGCUUUCGGAUGGGCUUGCGGCCUAUCGGGUAGUUGGUGGGGUAAUGGCCUACCAAGCCGACGACGGGUAGCUGGUCUGAGAGGACGAUCAGCCGGAUUGGGACUGAGAUACGGCCCAGACUCCUACGGGGGGCAGCAAUUAGGAAUCUUGCGCAAUGGGGGCAACCCUGACGCAGCGACGCCGCGUGCGGGAUGAAGGCAUUCGUGUCGUAAACCGCUUUUUUAGGGGAAGAAGAAUGUGACGGUACCCUAAGAAUAAGCCCCGGCUAACUACGUGCCAGCAGCCGCGGUAAUACGUAGGGGGCGAGCGUUGUCCGAAGUUACUGGGCGUAAAGCGCGCGUAGGCGGUCAUUUAAGUUCGGGGUGAAAGGUUCAGCGCUCAACGCGAACAGUGCCUUGAAUACUGGGUGACUUGAGUUCGGGAGAGGGCAGUGGAAUUCCUGGUGUAGCGGUGAAAUGCGUAGAUAUCAGGAGGAACACCGAUGGCGAAGGCAGCUGCCUGGCCUAGAACUGACGCUGAGGUGCGAAAGCGUGGGGAGCGAACGGGAUUAGAUACCCCGGUAGUCCACGCCGUAAACGAUGAGUGCUAGGUGUUCGGGGUAUCGACCCCCCGGGUGCCGCCGCUAACGCAGUAAGCACUCCGCCUGGGGAGUACGGCCGCAAGGUUGAAACU
This 859-nucleotide ribosomal RNA is filed under the name uncultured bacterium. RNAcentral's name for it is "bacterial SSU rRNA". It matches the Rfam family "Bacterial small subunit ribosomal RNA", at positions 21 to 901 of the family's 1533-position model. The record is from RNAcentral.